RNAcentral lists this ribosomal RNA (971 nucleotides) under Klebsiella michiganensis. RNAcentral's name for it is "partial 23S ribosomal RNA". It matches the Rfam family "Bacterial large subunit ribosomal RNA", at positions 1416 to 2368 of the family's 2925-position model. The record is from RNAcentral. Lineage: Bacteria; Pseudomonadati; Pseudomonadota; Gammaproteobacteria; Enterobacterales; Enterobacteriaceae.
CGAUGGGAAACAGGUUAAUAUUCCUGUACUCGGUGUUACUGCGAAGGGGGGACGGAGAAGGCUAUGUUGGCCGGGCGACGGUUGUCCCGGUUUAAGCAUGUAGGCGGAUGUUCCAGGUAAAUCCGGAGCGUCACUAACGCUGAGGUGUGAUGACGAGGCACUACGGUGCUGAAGUGACAAAUGCCCUGCUUCCAGGAAAAGCCUCUAAGCAUCAGGUAACAUCAAAUCGUACCCCAAACCGACACAGGUGGUCAGGUAGAGAAUACCAAGGCGCUUGAGAGAACUCGGGUGAAGGAACUAGGCAAAAUGGUGCCGUAACUUCGGGAGAAGGCACGCUGAUGGUAAGUGAAGUGACUUGCUCAUGGAGCUGAAAUCAGUCGAAGAUACCAGCUGGCUGCAACUGUUUAUUAAAAACACAGCACUGUGCAAACACGAAAGUGGACGUAUACGGUGUGACGCCUGCCCGGUGCCGGAAGGUUAAUUGAUGGGGUUAUCCUCGCGGAGAAGCUCUUGAUCGAAGCCCCGGUAAACGGCGGCCGUAACUAUAACGGUCCUAAGGUAGCGAAAUUCCUUGUCGGGUAAGUUCCGACCUGCACGAAUGGCGUAAUGAUGGCCAGGCUGUCUCCACCCGAGACUCAGUGAAAUUGAACUCGCUGUGAAGAUGCAGUGUACCCGCGGCAAGACGGAAAGACCCCGUGAACCUUUACUAUAGCUUGACACUGAACACUGGUCCUUGAUGUGUAGGAUAGGUGGGAGGCUUUGAAGUGUGGACGCCAGUCUGCAUGGAGCCAUCCUUGAAAUACCACCCUUUAAUGGCUGGUGUUCUAACGUGGGCCCGUAAUCCGGGUUGCGGACAGUGUCUGGUGGGUAGUUUGACUGGGGCGGUCUCCUCCUAAAGAGUAACGGAGGAGCACGAAGGUCAGCUAAUCCUGGUCGGACAUCAGGAGGUUAGUGCAAUGGCAUAAGCUGGC